AGCGAACGCUGGCGGCAGGCCUAACACAUGCAAGUCGAACGAACUCUUCGGAGUUAGUGGCGGACGGGUGAGUAACACGUGGGAACGUGCCUUUAGGUUCGGAAUAACUCAGGGAAACUUGUGCUAAUACCGAAUGUGCCCUUCGGGGGAAAGAUUUAUCGCCUUUAGAGCGGCCCGCGUCUGAUUAGCUAGUUGGUGAGGUAAAGGCUCACCAAGGCGACGAUCAGUAGCUGGUCUGAGAGGAUGAUCAGCCACAUUGGGACUGAGACACGGCCCAAACUCCUACGGGAGGCAGCAGUGGGGAAUCUUGCGCAAUGGGCGAAAGCCUGACGCAGCCAUGUCGCGUGAAUGAUGAAGGUCUUAGGAUUGUAAAAUUCUUUCACCGGGGACGAUAAUGACGGUACCCGGAGAAGAAGCCCCGGCUAACUUCGUG
This 433-nucleotide ribosomal RNA is filed under the name uncultured bacterium. RNAcentral describes it as "partial 16S ribosomal RNA". It matches the Rfam family "Bacterial small subunit ribosomal RNA", at positions 29 to 507 of the family's 1533-position model. The record is from RNAcentral.